RNAcentral lists this ribosomal RNA (1083 nucleotides) under sediment metagenome. RNAcentral's name for it is "bacterial LSU rRNA". It matches the Rfam family "Archaeal large subunit ribosomal RNA", at positions 1934 to 2972 of the family's 2987-position model. The record is from RNAcentral.
AGUACGGGGGCUGAAUCCUGGCCACUGGCGGUACGUGAAACCCGGGUUCAACCGGGCGAAGCGCCGCCGAAGGCCGGGAGUAACUCUGACUCUCUUAAGGUAGCCAAAUGCCUUGCCGGGUAAGUUCCGGCGCGCAUGAAUGGAUCAACGAGGUCCCCGCUGUCCCAGCCUGGGACCCGCUGAACCCGCAACCAGGUGCACAGUCCUGGGAGUCCCGGUGGGGCGAGAAGACCCCGUGGAGCUUUACAGCAGCCUGGCGUUGGGAUACGGUUGCGGGUGCGUAGCGUAGGCGGGAGCAAUGAACCUAGCCUUCCGGGGCUAGGGGAUGCGGUCAUGAAACACCGCCCACUCGCGACUGUGUCCCUAACCCUGGGACGUUACCCGGGGGACAGCGCUAGGUGGGCUGUUUGGCUGGGGCGGCACACCCCUGAGAAGGUAUCAGGGGUGCCCAAAGCUCGGCUCAGGCGGGUCAGAACUCCGCCGUAGAGGGCAAGGCCAAAAGCCGGGCUGACUGCGCCCUUAAACGCAUGGGGCGCAGGCGGGAAACCGGGGCCUAGCGAACGCUCGUGCCCCCUUCGGUGGGGGCCGGGCAUGACAGAAAAGUUACCCCGGGAGUAACCGGCUCGUCGCGGGCGAGAGUUCACAUCGACCCCGCGGUUUGGUACCCAGACGUCGUCUCUUCCUAGCUUGGCCCUGCAGCAGGGGCCAAGAGUGGGGCUGCUCGCCCAUUAAAAGGGAACGUGAGAUGGGUUUAGACCGUCGCGAGACAGGUCGGACUCUACCUGCCGGGACCGUUGGCCGCCUGAGGGGAUGGUCCGCACAGUACGAGAGGAACUGCGGGCCGUGGCCUCUAGUGUACCGGUUGUCCGGCAGGGCACUGCCGGGCAGCCACGCCGCAAGGGGUAACCGCUGAAGGCAUCUAAGCGGGAAACCCACCCCGAGACGAGGCGGCCGCUCCCGACCUUGGCUUACCGGUGACGGGGGCUGGGUCGGGACGAGGGCACCCGUAGAAGACGGGGUUGAUGGGGUGGCGGUGUAGGCACCGAGGGUUUCCGAGGUGCGAGCCGGCCACUCCCAAUGGCC